RNAcentral lists this long non-coding RNA (12761 nucleotides) under Homo sapiens (human). RNAcentral's name for it is "LHRI_LNC1788.1". Lineage: Eukaryota; Metazoa; Chordata; Mammalia; Primates; Hominidae. The record is from RNAcentral.
GAAAUCCACAUGCGAUGGCUGUUCCCGACUGCAGCUGUUGUUGGAGAAUGUGGCUGAACCAGUGGGCAAGGAAGUGGGGAACAGGGGCAGUCAGGCAGACCCGCCCACCCCAUUGCCUGCGGAGCUGGAGGAGCCUCUCCCAGCAGGGCGAAGGGCCUCCUUACCAUGGGGAAAGGCAGGGCUGGGCUGUCAUGUCCACGCCCUCCUUCCAUAUUCCUGGGAUGGUGUAGAAACCACCACGUAUAGACAACAGGAAAGUUACACAGGGGAGCUUCCUCCUCAUGGAAGGAAACAUCUGGGGUGGCGGAGAACAGUCGCCCUGUGGCAAGGAAUAUGAUGUGCUGGGCUCCGUGCCCGGCCCACGGUUGGAGGGUGGUCAAUGGCAUCUGUUAGGUACGUACUUGGUAGAAGUGGCCACAGUGUGUCAAAUCGGUGUUGUUGUCUGCUGUAGGAAAUAAUCUGGCUUUAAAUUCAAGAACAUCUCUUUCCUACUUGUUGGCAGAGCAUGAUUGAGGUAAUGGUGAUCCAUGGAUCUCAAGGUCACAUUCUAAGUUGAACGCAAUUCACAGGGAGCUGAGGUAGUGGUUGACUCCUAGCCUGGGCCUGGAGAAGCUUCUCUGCCUCCUCUCUCUUGGUCCCAGCCCCCCACAGGGCCUGUGCUUUUACCAGACCUGGUUCUGUGUUUGCAACGAGACGCCUGGCCAGCCGGGCCUGGACCUGGCUACACUUGGGUCCCCCGGCCACUGGAGAGGGGGAGCCCCCACAUUUGCCUACUUCAUCAUCGAGCCCCCCACCCCCACUGCCUUCAGGAAGCGUUUGCCAGUCAUUCUUGCUAUCUGCUCCCCGUACCUCCCUUCCCCAGCCAGGUGUGGAUCCUUCCUCCUCUGAGCUUCUGCAGUUUUCCUCUGUUGUAUUUCUCAACCUUGACCCUGUCCCACACUGUGCUGGGCUCCAGUUUCCUGGGUGCAGUCUGCUCUCCCAGCCUGAUGAGGCUCUCUUCAGGAGGAGGGUGUCUGGGGCUCACGGUACAUCCAUGUAGCUGGACUCUCACUUAGUGGCCAGUGACUGCCAUGUGCUGCAUUAACGCGUCAAUUAAAAAUGAUUCUUCCAAAGGCUAGGUUCUCCUGGAGGUUUUAUGUGAACACUGAGUUUGAUAGUGUGGCACAGGAGAGCUCACACUUGUCACUCAAUUUCCCAAGGAGUCGAGAGUCUAAUGGAAUAACCUUGGAUUUCCUGGCAUUAGGUUUUGGGGCUAUUAAAACAUAGUGACCACAGUUUUUUGUGUCUUGAGAGCCUUAGGGGAAAAUGUUAUGGAAAUUUGGUUGUUGUUUCAGGAAUAUAAGCGGAGCCGUCUACUCAGGCGAGAAAUGUGGAGGCUGCUGGUGUUUCUUAUAGCUGGUAUAAAUAGCUUGGCUUCAAGUUCCAUGCUCCUUUGUUUGGAAUGUAAAUAUUUGCAUUAAAAAUAUAAAGUAUGUCCUGGCAUGUAUUUUUAGGGACUAUAAUUUCCAAACCCCAAAUCAGACUAUGGGUCUACUGAGGAUUAAUUUUCUCUGCUUUGUGAACCUGUGUAUGUAAAGAGUCUUCCAAAUGUACACACCAAACCCUGUUUGCUUUGUGCAUGGAAGGAACCGCCAGGAUUACAAGAAAGCAGGGUUGCCCCGGGGAGUGUGGGCCGAGGGCUUGUGUUUCUCUCCACACACUUCUGAUGGUUCUGCCUGGUAGCUGCAGCGGCUCAGGGCGGUGGGGUGGAGGAGUUUUGGCCGAGAUCUUGUGGGUAUCAUCAGGGGCCUGGCUUCUCUGUUGUUGGUUUCCUGGACAUCCAGGUGGGGAUUUGGCUGCAGCUGGCUGACCUCUGUGUCACGUAACCAGACGCUUGACUUUGGAGUUGCAGUUGCUCUAGGAAGAUGUUCGGGAGUUUUAGUGCCCUUUCUGUGGUCUGGUGGAGGGAGCAGGAGGUUCUCAUGUCCGGUUCAGAGGUGAACUGUGAAGGCCUCUGUGUGGUGUCUUCCUCCACUGGAUUCCUGGGGGCUGUUUAGCUUUAAUUUUUCUAUGAAGGACAACCUGGAUGAUUGGUUAAUCCCUUACUGUGGGUGGGAUGUCAUCUCUGGUCUGGCCUCGGCCUGUUCUCGGUAGUGGGGGGCUUGAUGGGCAGCAGGAGCUGGGCAGGCCAUUUGCCCCUGGUAUGGGGGAGCUUGUUCCUAAGGCUCUCUGGGCAGCCUUCAAUGGUCACCUUCUGGCCCAAAGGCUCUAACGGAGAAGGUUGGGCCAUGGAGGUCAGCUGGCCUGCAGGGGAGGACCGAAUGCAGGUGGGCCCCCAACUGGCAACCUCCCUCUUGUCUCAUCACAGGAUGAAGGGCAGAUGAGAAGACAGCCAGGAGGGUCCUGGGCCCUCAGCUGUGACUCCCCGAGAGGCAGGUACCAAGGGCUUCCUUUGUCCUUGCUUCCCAGCCAGCGCGUGGCCCCUGCCCUUGGGAGGGUCAGCUCCUCCUCCGUCCCACUGAACACUGAUGCCUCAGGACUGGACUCCUUGGGGCAGCAGAGACCCUUCCGUCUUUCCUUCCCUAGCUCUGCCUUGCAAAGGUGCAGCCUCCUGAGCCUCAGAGUGUCUGACAUCUCUCUGCCUAGGCACCCUCUCUGAAACAUUGUGUGGGCUUAGAAACCGUGAGCCUUGGGAAGGACCAUCUUCCUCUGAGCUCUGGGCGUGUUGAACUGCGGAGGCUUACCACUUCCUCGCCUGUGGUCAUCUCCAGCCUGACCCAUGGUGGCGUGAUCCUCUCUCAUCAUCCGUCACAGUUUUUAAUAAAGAAAAUAUGUUCCAGAAAGGCCGAGUCCCCAUGCCGCAUCAGGUCAGUGAUCCAAGUGCAUUAUAGUGAAAGUCAGAGGAAAUAGCUGCUUUUAGGACACGCUGAACUUGCCUAAGAAAGUUAUUAGUGGGAAUAAAUGAGGGGGAAGAAAGCAUGCUCCGACUAACGAGAACAGUAUCAGCCUGACAUUUUGUGUCGUCCUAACUUUGAAAAGCUAUUUAUACCCACUUGCUAGCAGUUUCUAUGAGAAAUUAGAUAUGAGGAGAUGUACAGAAGAGAAGAGUGGGAGCUGGGUGACUGUGAGCUCCUCCUCAGAAACAUCUUCCAGGCAAAAAAAAGGAAAAGAAAAAAUCAUUUGCUCACCUAUCGACAAUAGAAAAUCCAGGGAUCUUUUGCAUUGUAUAAAAUUUGGCUCAGAGAAGAAAAAUGAUGUAUUGAAAAGAAGAUGAAGCUUCAGUUGCCAUUUGAGUGGUGGAAAAUAAAUUUGCUUUCGGCCCUUAAAAUGGAAAUAAGUCGAUAGAAAAAUGCAGGCCUGCCCCCUUUUGAGUCAGCAGUUUUUUUGGUUGAUGAAAGGGUGAGAAGACGUGCUCACUGGAAGUCACCCGCUGGAUCACUUAGGAAGCCGCAGAAGUGCCGAAGGACAUGCAUGUGUAUCUUUCAAAGUUCUCAACUGAUUUAUUAAAAAAAAUCAUAAAGCAGACUUUUGAAAAACCUGUUCAAUCUAUUCUUCUUUAACAGCUUUACUGAAAUGUAAUGCACACACCAUAAAAUUCACCCAAAGUAUACAAUUCCAUGUUUUUUAGUAUAUUGACAGAUACGUGCAACCACUACCACAGCUAAUUUUAGAACUUUUUUUAAUCUCAAAAAGACAUCUUGUACACCUUAGCUAUCACCCCUUUAUCUCCCCAUUCCCCUACAUGUACCCUUCAGCCUUGAGCAACCACAAAUCUACUUCUUGUCUCUGUCCAGCCCAAUUCCUCUAUUGUGGACUUUCGUAUGAGCAGAAUCACAUAGAAUGAGGUCUUUUGUGACUGGCUUCUUUUACUCUGUGUAACUGUCAUGGUUCAUCCAUGCUGUGGCAUGCGUCAGCACUUCCUUCCUUUUCAUGGCUGAAUAAUAUUCCAUCGCAGGGAUAGACCACAGUUUCAUGGAUCCAUUUGUCCAUUGAUAGACAUUUGGGUGGUCUCCACCUUUGGCUCUUAUGAAUGAGGCGGCCAUAAACGUUUGUGUACAAGCUUCUUUGGGUGUGGACAUGUGUUUCCGUUUCUAGGGUUAUGUUUUAUGAGACGUUUUCACUUUCUUCUAAUAAUAAGAUUCAUUUUUUAAACAACACUCUUUCCCUGGCCCUAGAAAAGGCUUUGUUCUUAGAUGGGAUCCCGAUCCCCCUGUCAGUGAUCCUGGCUGAGAUACUGAAUUGUCUGAAUUUUAGAGCUGGAAAGGCCUUCGGGCGAACGUGGUUCAGCCCCUUUUUAUAGAUGGGGAAGCUGAGGGCCAGAGAGGCCACACAUAAAGAGACAGGAUUGAAUACCGGUUUUUGGAGUUACAAUCCAAUUACUCCAAAAGUUCUCCCUAAACUCUUACUAAAACCCCAGGUUGCCUUCUUGACUGGCCUGGGGCAGCAGAUUAAGGUGGGUUGGGUGAACAGAUGGUGGUUAGCUUGCCCUCUUUUAUGUGAUUAUGGGUCAAGGUUUUCAGUCAUCCAAUGUACUCUUGCCUGUUUUCCUUUCACCCAUCUGUCUGUCCAUCCAAUGUCCAUCUGAUGUCCGAGGCCCAGAACAUCUCCCCAUCCACCAGCGGCCGAAUAAGAACAGCACCUUGUGGCGCCAGCAUCUUUCUAGUUCUUUCUCCCCUGCGGUGAUGGGCGGCCCGGCUGCUUAUCCGGGGAAUAAUUAAAUUAGGAACCAAUUCAGAGAAUGAAAUUUUAUCUGAUUUGGCCAAGCCCGUAAUAAGCAAGGGGCUGUAAUUGUGACUCCAGGAUACAUUAGGAAGUUGUUUUUUCAAGGGUACGCUGGGUGAAAGCAUUGAAAGAAAUAUGUGGAGACCAGGCCGGGAGAUCUCCCUGGGCCAGGUUUCUUGCAUGGCCUGGGGGUGUGGUCCCACAGGGCGGCUGUGUCCUCAGGCUGGUCCUUCCAGCGUUUAUGUUUCCAGGCACCAUUUAGCUCUGAUGAGGUAGAUAAAAGUGUUUUGUGGCUGGAGUGUUCUCUGUGCUUAGGAAAGUUCUGUUAAAAUCCUUAUGGAUAUCUAUCUCAUUGUUAUCACUGAUAUUCUAAAGCACCUUUACAACUGUAAUAAGAAGUAAACUUGGCAGAAACUCUGUGGCUAUAAAUCAGGGGUGCCGCUUUGCAACCCCCACGGAGCUUAUUGAAAGAAAUGCACAUACUUUGGUCCUACAUCAGCUGUUACAUCAAGUCUCCGGGGAUGGAUGCUGGGCAUUUGUGUGUGUGUGCACGCGUGUGUGUGUGCAUGCGUGCAUGUGUGUGCAUGCGUGCAUGUGUGUGCAUGCAUGGACCUGGAUUCGUUAAGCUCUUUAGCUAAGAAACGCUGAGGGAACUUAGCAGUGAUUGUAAUCAUUCUUCUAAUGAGAAUUUCCAGUUCUCCUAUGGCAAAGAUAAGGGACAGAUAAUUAGCACAGUGGUCUCAGGAAUGAGCCUCAUUUGUCCUCAAUCUGUGAUGAGACUUUGUGACUGUCUUUGAGUUUCAUGUUCAGAUUCCCUGAUUGUAACUAACACACAUUGUUCAUCACUUGGUAGCAGUGGUGGAAUUUUAGAUCUGUUUUUCUCUUGGGGAAGGACCCCAUUCUCAUCCCCACAGUGGCCCAGGCUGGAGGCCCAGGAGUCUCCUUUGACAGAUAGCUGGUCAGUGCAGAAUUGCUUCCUUUGUGUCUCUGCCACUGGAAGGUUAUCUGUUCCUUCAGAACAGGAAAUGUGUCUUAUUCAACGUGGCAUCCCCAGGGCCUAGUCCAUGGGAAAGAAUGAUUGGGCCGAUGGACAGACAGAUGGGUGAAAGGAAAACAGGCAAGAGUAUAGUGAAUAAUUGAAAACUUUGACCCAUAGUGCAGGGAUGGUGAGUGUCUUUCAGAUCGUCUGUUUAUAGCUGGGGAAACGGAGGCCUGCAGAAGUCAGUGACUUGCCCUAAUCCUUCAGCUUUGAUCAAGAAGAACAUUGGGGAGCCUGGCCCUUCAAUGUCUUCAACUCUUCUGACUCAGGCUCUGCACAUCCUCUUGAGAGUCACCCUCCAGUGAAAAGAACUCUUUAUUGAGGCCCUGCUGUGUACCCCAUGCUGUUCUAGGAGCUGGGGAUCUAGCAGUGAGUUAGACACACAGGGUCCCAGUGCUCACAGAGGGCAUAUCCUCAUGGAGAGAGACAGGCAGCAGACAAGGUCGCAAAUAUCAGAGAAUAGACAGGCAUAAGGGCCAUGUGCUGGAGUGACCAGCUGGUGUGCGGGAAAGGCCUUUCCACAAAGGUGACAUCUCCGUUGAUUCUUGAAUGUUCAGAGGGUGCUGCUGUCUGAUGCUUGGAAGGAGGGAACAGUCAGUGCCAGGACCCCAAGGGGAGAACCUGUUGAUGGGAUGGGAUUCAUUUAUGCUCGGGAGAAAGAGACUUGGUUUAUUGGACGCCUGGGUUGAUUUUCUUCUCUUCUGCAUCCUCUGCACUGACAUUUGCAGCUCUGCCUUCUCCCCGUCCCGUCUCUGGGUGAAGAACACCUGUCCGAUGCUCGCUGGCCUGCAGCUGCUGCAGAGUUUCAGAAAACAGGGCUAGCAAAAAACAAAGCAAAACCCCAACAUCCCUGUCCUCUCACUAAGGGCUUGGCUGGGGAGGCAGAGUUAUUUUUAUGUAAGCACAUGCUUGAGGGGGUACGUCUUGGGGUGGGCAGCUGAAACCACACUCAUAAAAACAAGACCGAAAUAGGACUGUGAAUUCCCAAAGGUGAACACAGGCCGUUAACUUGAAUUUGGUGACAGUUCCAUGCAGCCUAGGUCCUGGAGCGGGAACCCUUUGGAGGGGGAUGAGGCAUGGAAAACUGUUUGCUGAUUUGGCCUCUUCUUUAAGCAUUGCUUUCCGGCCCUGGCUGUGACAGAGACCUGGCCCUUGCUCAGGAUUUGAGCCCCCUCAAGGGGAAGUUCUUCCUCCCUCCUGGUGCUGCCUCCAGCUGUUUCUGUCUCCUCGUCAGUAAGAACCUCUGUUUCUUGAGGGCCCUCCUGUUGGUUGUCCUCUUGUUGCAGCCACCUCCCUACCUGCGAGGGAGUGGGCCCCAGGCUGCCUCUCCAUCCCAGGUCCUGCUGUUAACCUGGGUAACCGUGGUCUCCAUGGGGCAGCACUCUGGCCUCCCAGGUCCUGCAUCAGGACACCCUGAACCUUGUCUACUCCUGGACUGCUCCAUACCACAUGGAGUCCGUCCUUGUUAAUGACGUGUUAAUGCCAGGCUUUCUUGUGGAAACCACACCCAAGACACCAGCUGGUCAACCUGACACACAGUAGGGCCUCAACGGAUUGUGUCAUCAGUUAUUUUCAUAAACUUUAAAUCUCUUUCUGGUCUCCCCAGACAUCCUUAAGAGUGAUCCUUUGUCACAUUGCAAAGUUUUCCCAAUAAAUAUUGGUCAGUAGUUGUGACAGUAAUAUACAUCUCCAUUUUAUGUUGUUGACUAAUUUUUAAAUGGUGGACAAAACAUAAAUUUUUCUACAUUUUAAUAAAUGGAAAGAUAAAAGAAAUUUUUUUUUCUGAGUAGUUUGGUUUAGAAUCAUUCCAGUUGUUCAUUCAGCAUCUCUUCCCAAGUCACAUGAGUCCUACACCAGGCAGCUGUGGCUGUAUUGACAUGCUGAAUGCUUGCUCAGAGUCCCCAUAAUCUCUUGGCACUCCUAUAUGCUGCCUCAUACUUUUAUUUUAAUUUUUUAUUUUGAAAUAAUUUCAGACUCACAAGAAGAUGCAAAAAUAGUAGACUCCCUGUGUACCCUUCACUCAGCUUCCCACAGGGAGAACAUCUUAUGCAACCCUCAGACAUGAUCAAAGCCAGGAAACUGACACUGGUACAAUAGCAUUAACUGAGCUGCAGACCUUAUUUUUCUUAUUAAACCUAGGGAUCUACAGCAUUUUAGAAGCAUUUUAGAAUUUCAUAAGCUUUAGCAUUGUUGUUUGUCUUUUAGAGGAUGUUUCAAUCCCUUCCAAUUGACAAUCAGUUAAAAUUCGUUUCCGUAAGUUCAACAAAUACUGGAGGAUGAAUUUCACAGGUUCCACGGGUCCACAUGGCGCUCUAUGGGUGCAUCGUCUCUGAUGGGUGCACAGAGGUGACCUUCUACCUCAGAUCUGAGAGAUUCUGAGACAUAAAGAACCUUAGACAGUAGUUUGGUUUAUAGGACAGACCAGGGGAGCUGGAGUUCUGAUAAUGGAAACCAGGCUGCAUUGAGUAUUUAGUAUGCUUUAGGUUUUAUCUACUUUAUUUCAUUUCAUACACUCAGCAACCUUUGAGGUAGAUACAGUUAACAUCCCCAUUUUACAGAUGUAAGAACUGAGUUCAGAGGAGUUCACCCUGCCCACAUUCCUGCAGCUGGAUGGUAGAGUUGGGCGUGGAAUAUAGGCAGUGUGAAGUCAGAGACUGCUUGUUCUUAACCUUGCCGGGCUCCCUCCUUGGCUCAGGCCUGCACAGUGACUGCUGUGUGCCCUGGGGCUGUCCUGACUUCUCUGAGUCUCUGUUUCUUUACCUGCAAUGCAAGAGGCUUGUGUGAGAUCUGCCGUGUCCCUUCCAUUUCUGAGUGCAGGUGGUUUUAUUGGUGAAAACAAUUCUACCCGUAGAGCUAGAAACACCCAAGCAACAUCCAAAUGAAAUUUGUACCUUGCCCCUUGUAGGUGCUUUUAAGGUUGGUAGAAUUUCUGCAGCCUAGUUUGGUUUGAUGGGAGCCUCAAUUCCAAUUGAAUUAUGCUCUGGUGUAUUUUAAUUAAACCAUCUACAAGCUGAUUUUAUAAAGAGGCAGAAUCCCCAUGUAGUGAGCUGUGCCUGCCUCCCUCUGUGCUCAACUCUGGAGCCGAGUGAGGCUCGUAAUAACCAGAGGACUGUGCGAGCUGCUCAGGCUCGGCCUCAUGGGCAGCAUUAAUUGUGAGAUGCCACCGGAACGAGAUGCGAGGGCAUUAUCAGCAUAUACUUAAUUGAUUUUGCAUUCUCCACAAAGGAAGGUUAAAAUUAAGCUUGUUUGUAAAUGGUGUUUAAACUGCACAGGCUUGGGGAUGAGUUGCAGAAACUAACAGAGCAGGGCACUGGUUGGAGGGCCUAAUUUUCUCUUUAGGUGGUGGACAGAGCACAUCACUCAACUAAGGUAAAGAUUUUCCCAUUUAAAGGGGCUGAAAGAGUGUAAGCCUCGGCUCGUAAAUUUGACAGACAAGGCCUCCGCUUGAGUGCCUCAGGGAUGGUCUGGACUCUGGGGAUGAAUGUGUAAUCACAUUAGCGUGAUGAGUUAAAGGGCCCCAUAUUUUUAAAUCCUCAGGCAGAGCUGCAUUAGAGAAGAUGCUGUUCGAGAUCAGACUUAUGAUAAACAGGCUCAUGGAAACAGCCUUUGCUAUCCUCAUUCCUGGUAUAGAAUGUAAGAUUCUGAUUGUCAUUCUGACAUGCCCCAGGAAAGGUCUCUGCUCAAACCCAAGAUGAGCUUUAAACCUGAGGUGGAAUGCCGUUCUCUAAGUAUCUGUUCUUUGGCUCUAACAUAUACCAGGAAUGAGAACAGCACUCUGGGUGUGUUCUCACUCUCCUUUAAUCCUGAUAAGAAAACAUUUUAAGUAUCUCCAGAUCCAUCUAUAUAAUUUGCAAGACGCAGUGCAACAUGAAAUGCAUAUUAAAAAUUAUUAAGAAUUGGCCGGGCGCGGUGGCUCACGCCUGUAAUCCCAACACUUUGGGAGGCUGAGGCAGGUGGAUCACGAGGUCAGGAGAUUGAGACCAUCCUGGCUAACACGGUGAAACCCUGUCUCUACUAAAAAUACAAAAAAGUAGCCGGGCGUGGUGGCAGGCGCCUGUAGUCCCAGCUCCUCGGGAGGCUGAGGCAGGAGAAUGGUGUGAACCCGGAAGGCGGAGCUUGCAGUGAGCCGAGAUCGCACCACUGCACUCCAGCCUGGGCGACAGAGCGAGACUCCGUCUCAAAAAAAAAAAAAAAAAUUAAGAAUUUAAAAAUAGGGAAAGCAGAACAAUACAUUCUGUAUAGGGUGUUUCUGAGCAAAGGGCCCUGUGUGAUUGACCAUGGGUCCACGCCCUUGGAGUUGGCUCUGGGAUCUUGUAGGAUGCUGAUCCUAGACCAAUGUGAUUUAUAGCAACUUGUGUGAAUUGUGAACUCCCCGGGGGCACGGGCUGCAGCUGAAUCACCUUGGUGUGCUGGGAGGGGUCUGGCUGGAGGCCUGACCUAAGCACACGCUUAGGAAAUGCCCGUUGAGCUGAAUCAACUAACUCAUGGAGCCAUCAGCCUGGUCUGCUGGGGAAAUUUCAUGUGACUUUCUCAGUCUCCACGCAUCGGGAAUCUGGGACAGUCUACCGCUAGGCUCUUCAGAACAGACAGGGACAAGGACCAACAUUCUCUAAUGAAACUCACUGACUUGACAGCUCAGCUUUGAGAAGAGAAAACCUGAAUACAAAACCCAUCUACAUUAUGUGUGUGUAUAAGCCUCAAGUCCUGGUGAUUUUUCACUGUAAAAUGGAAAAGAUUGACACACAGUGGCUCUCCAGUACCUCUGUGUGGUUAAUGUGUGUGUCUGUCGUGACUCUGUGGCUCAGUCCCAAGAGAGGGGCAGCCCAUCUCCCCUGGCUUUUCAUCCCUGAUGUCCUCCCUGUGAGCUCUGCUCCUCCCAGUGGAGUAAAAUGCUCCUGGAGACAGUCUAGGAUUUUAGGGGCCACUGUAGGUCAUCCUUGUCAUUCUGGAUCCCGGAGAAUGCCACCUUGCAAAGUUGAGGGGGGCAUAGUGCAUCUUGGUAAGGAAAUAAAAUCCCGCCCAGGAAGCAUCUCUCCCUGGAGCAAGAGGCUUGGAAGGGCCCGGGACUCCUUUGUGCUGACUCUUUGUUCCUUCCCUGCAGGCUGGCCCAGACUCAGAGUUGCCCUUUCCCCUUUGCCAGUGGAGAGGGAGAGAGGAGCAUCCAGGGCCAGCUGCCAAAGACAGGGGAGGUUCUAACCAAGGAAAGCCCGGACUUUUCAGGUUUUAAAUUGGAAGAGGGCUUCUUGAAUGAGCAUUAAAGUUACUUUUUUAUUGGAAGGGAGUGUAGGGGGUGGAUGCUGUGCUCAGCAUACAUCAGGAGAGAGCUGCCCAAGUCAGAUCUCUUCCGAGCAGCGUCUUGGGGGAGAGACUGUGCACCACCGCUAGAUUUUCCUCCCUUUGUCCUCGGUUUGUACAGAGGUCACUGGAGAUGUGAGCUCAAAGGGAGCCGGGACGCUGUGCUCUCCUCUCAUUGUCACAAGUCGAUGGGCCUGAAUAGGCUGUGACACUUGAAGAAAGAAAGAAACCAUCCUUUAUACCUCCUGGCUGGGGAGAGACAGCAGGGCAGGAAGCCUGCAGUGCUGGAGGCCAAAGCUACUCCCAUGGAGCCUCAGAUGUGUGGAGGGAGGUCUGUGCUGUUCCUGGGUGUCUGGGAUUGUACCCUCCCCACCGUGGGGAUGCACAGCCUGUUCUUAACUUAUUCAGCAAAUAACAAACAGCACCUCCAUGUUCAAGCAAAAGCUGGCUUUAUUUAUUUUCCCCAUUAAGCUAUCCACAGUCAUUGUUUUCACUUUCAAAAGCAAAAUAAUAGGAAAAAACUUCACAGUAUUUGUAUUACCUGAUGUAGGAGUCUGAGAGAACUUGAAUAAUAAGUCUGGCUUAGAAGUAUUAGGGGAAAAAUCUUGAUACACAAAAGAGAAACAGAAACAUGAAAAGAGGAAUGUGCUGAAACAGUCCUCCCUGCAAAACAUCAUUAACUCCGCGGGGGCUGGGAGCCUGUCUGUCUUGUCCACACACUGCACCCCACUGCCUAGCACAGCCGCAUUCAAAAGGAAAGUCAGCCCUGGCUGCUGGGAGGCAGUGGCGAGUGAGACAUGCCCAGGUCCUGUCCUCAUGGAGGUUAGAGUCUAGGAGGUGAAUGAGGUGGAAACACUUAGGCAAAGGAUCAUUUAAUUUCAGUUGUGAUGAGCUGGGGACAGGAACGGGAAGUGGUCUAUGAGCAAGUUUGCUGAUGCCGUGAGCCCAGUCUGGCAGAGGCGCGGGGUGCAUUGGAGAGCUCCAGGUCAUAAUGGAGGAAGCUGCGCGGAGGGAGAGGAGGCAGAGACUGCAGACGUGGCGAAGGUGUUGGGUGUGCAGGGGGAUGUUAUCACUGAGGACACAAAACAACGCUGGAAGCUCAGCUGUCUGAUUCAUACGCUGUAUUGCUGACUCUCACUUCUCCCUUCCCCUCUCUACUCUACCUCUCUGCAAAAGAAGGCUUUCCUUCCAGAGCUGGCAGCUGCCCCUGCUUCUUGACAGGAUGAGCAAGACAGCGGUGGUUUAAGCAAGGUCUUCGCUGUGCUCCGGAGAGAUGUGGGUAUUCUGGGGGAACAUGCCUUUGUUAUAAUAUUUAUUGAAUGUUCACUUUUCCAGCUCUGAAUACUGAAACUUAGUGAGAUUUUUUUUUUCGAGCCAUGCCCCAUCAACACUUUUAGGUUGUCUCUAAUGGAAAAGAGAAAAGAAAAAGAUUCAUUUUUGAUGGACUGGGCAUAUCCAAGUUCAGUGUCUUGGGUGAUAGGUCUAUAAAUAAAUACUUGUUUGACCUAUUUUACAGAGGUUGGAAAUCUAGAUUCUAGAUCUGAGUGGAGUUAUCAGAAACUAGGUCUGUUAUCUAAAAAGCUAGAGGAAAUUGACAAGGAGAAGGAGGGUCUGAAAUGACCUUUUUUUUUUGAGACGGAGUGUCACUCUGUCCCCCCAGGCUGGAGUGCAGUGGUGCGAUCUCAGCUCACUGCAACCUCCACCUCCUGAGUUCAAGCGAUUCUCC